AAUAAGAUGCCUGAAGUAUUAAGGACUAUUUUGAUAGAAUAGAAUAUGUAUAUAAUUAUACUCUUAUUA
This 69-nucleotide transfer RNA is filed under the name Megacopta caliginosa. RNAcentral's name for it is "tRNA-Ile". The record is from RNAcentral. Lineage: Eukaryota; Metazoa; Arthropoda; Insecta; Hemiptera; Plataspidae.